Molecule: long non-coding RNA, 1414 nt
Organism: Megalobrama amblycephala (Wuchang bream)
Lineage: Eukaryota; Metazoa; Chordata; Actinopteri; Cypriniformes; Xenocyprididae
Exons: 4
Source: RefSeq, a predicted model, not a curated record
CAAAACAUUGUGUUUGCAAGGGCUUGAUGUACUUGCAGAGGGAUGUGUGUCAUGUCCGACUCAAGCCCCAGAACUGUUUCUUGGAUGGACGAUUUGUGCAGAAGAUCACAGAUAACUGGUACAGCCAGGUUUUGGAUGGGCAGAAAUUCCCAUACAUGGAUACCCCAGCAGAGGGCAGAAAUUCCAGUAUCAGAGAAACACUGAUAGAUUGUAUUAUCCCAAUACUUCUCUUCACGUGUUUUUGACUAACCUGAGCUAGCGUAGCGUUUGCACUCUUUUCUUCCGCAUGCUGCACCUUUCAAUAUAAAGAGAGCAAAAUCACGGGGACUUUAAGACUGGCCAUUUUAAUAUCAGCGUCAGUUUCCACCACAGGUAAAAGACAUGCAGCACAGGUUUCAGGUGCUCGUGAGCGCCCCCUUUGCAGCCAUUAUGCGCCCUCAAUGAGCGAGCUCCACAACAGACUUCUACCUGUCAAUCAAAGCGCCAUUACAUCACAAAAGUGUGGAUUCGGAGGAAGGUCAAGAGGGCUUAGGGUUCUAUUUGGGACAGGGCCAGUGCUGAACUUUAUUCUCCUGCGUCCUAUUCUUCUGCAAUCCAGAAUGGCAGCACAACUGAAAGGUCAGAGGUGUCUAAAAACUUAAAGAGGCUCCUGAAGAAAGCAGAGAGGACGUGUCCCAGCUGCCCUAUUGGAAUACAAUGAAGGAAAUGUGUACCGGAAGAUCUCAAAUUAUAACUAAAAGAUCACUGAUGAUCCUGAGUGUAUCUUCGUAACUCUCAGACUGUGUCUUCUUACCUGAAGACCUGUCAACAGUUACUUGGCAAAAGAUCCCAAAAGACUACAGUUUGACAGCAGACUCUGAAAGGAUAGAGACACACUCUUCAAAAUAAAGGUUCUUUAUUGGCAUUGAUGAUUCCAUGAGGAACCUUAAACAUCCAUGGAACUUUUCCAUUGGACAAAAGGUUCUUUACAGUGAGAACUCGUCACUGAACGUUUCUUUAAGGUUCGUUGCUGCUAAAACCUCCUAGCACUCUUAUAUUCAAGAGUGUAGUAGUGCUGGAUGAGGACCAAUUAUUAUUUUGCAAGGCACCAGUCUAUUUGGAGGUCCAAAUAAUGAGAAAUUACAUAGCAGAAAUGGAAAUUACAUUUCCAACUGCAAGAUACAAAACAUUUUAAGACAACAAACACUUUUUCCCCUCCAAAAGACUGAGGAUCUCUGGAUAUAUAAGGCUCUGAUGUCUAUAAAUAUCUGUUUGGAGUACAUGUAAGACUGAGAUUAGUCUGAUGUUGGUUACUCUCAUCAUCUGAGUUAUCAGUUCACCGACCACAUUAUCAAUGUCUCUAAAACUAAAUGAUGACAAGAGAAACUGAAAAAACCUUGUAAGAAUUAGUAGUAUUGUCAUGGGAAGAAUAAAA